UUAAUGCACUGCCUUAAUUUGUUUAAAUUUAAACAAUUAUUACACAUUAUUGGGAUAAACCGUAAUCGUACCCCCUCCUAACUGCCAAAGUGUCAUGGCCGCCGUCGGGACCUAUUGUGCUGACAUUUACAAUGUUUACAUAUAGAAAAGUUUGUUUUUUUCUGCUUAUAAUGCCGUUUUCUAAAGAUAUUAGUGAACAAAAUCGAUUUGCUAACAAUAUUUAAUAUAUUUUAAAUGUGCUAAAAUUGGAUUCAACAGCAAAAGUCGCAUAAAUAACAUAUAAAUAACGAAUUUGUUCACCUAUUACAAAUGGGGUUAUGUGGUUGUAACUGUUUAUUUUGGGAAUAAAAUGAAAAUGAUCAAUUAAACGACUGGAAAACUAUAGUGAAGUGAAGAACAUCUUGAAGUUCCAAUGAUGUUUCAAGAUGAGGUAAAUCGAAAUAAUUGUAUGUUAGAAGGACAGAGAAUAUGAAGAAAUGUUAUUGCUGCAUAUUUAGUGUAGUGAAAUACAAACUUCAAACAUUAUAAUAUAUUUUUUGAUUUCAAACAUUUCAUAUGAUUAUGAAAGAACAUCUUUCUUUUUAAAACAAUGAAGAAGUGAAGAACAUAAUAAAGUUCCAACGAAAAUGAUUCCAGAUGAGGAAAAUCGAAAUAAUGGUUGUAUGUUACAUGUAUAGAGAAUACGAAGAAAUGUUAUUGCUGCAAACUUAGUGUAGUGAAUUAAAAACUUAUUGUCAAAUACAAAUCAAUUUAUUUCAUACUUUUAUAAUAUAUAGUGAUAUAAUUUUAUAUGUGUUCAAAUAAAAAUAUUAAUAAAUAAAAUACAAUAAACACAAA
This 837-nucleotide long non-coding RNA is filed under the name Diabrotica virgifera virgifera (western corn rootworm). Its description in RNAcentral is "uncharacterized LOC126882082". Lineage: Eukaryota; Metazoa; Arthropoda; Insecta; Coleoptera; Chrysomelidae. The record is from RNAcentral.